ACAUUCUCUCCGGAUGCCGAGGAUGGGGUUCGUCAUGCCCCGAACCCUCCUCCUGCUGCUGUCGGAGGCCCUGGCCGUGACCCAGACCUGGGCGGGCUCCCACUCCCUGAGGUAUUUCUACACCGCGGUGUCCCGGCCCGGCCUCGGGGAGUCCCGCUUCAUCGCCGUGGGCUACGUGGACGACACGCAGUUCGUGCGGUUCGACAGCGACGCCCCGAAUCCGAGGAUGGAGCCGCGGGCCCCGUGGGUGGAGCAGGAGGGGCCGGAGUAUUGGGACCAGGAGACGCGGAACAUGAAGAACAGCGCACAGGUUUUCCGAGUGGACCUGAACACGAUGCUCCGCUACUACAACCAGAGCGAGUCCGGGUCGCACAACAUCCAGUGGACGUUUGGCUGUGACGUCGGACCCGACGGCCGCCUCCUCCGCGGGUACAGUCAGGAGUCCUAUGACGGCAAGGAUUACAUCGCCCUGAACGAGGACCUGGGCUCCUGGACCGCGGCGGACACCGCGGCGCAGAUCACCCGCCGCAAGUGGGAGGAGACCGGUGCAGCGAAGGACUGGAAGAACUACCUGGAGGGCACGUGCGUGGAGUGGCUCGCCAAAUACCUGGACAUGGGGAAGGAGACGCUGCUGCGCGCAGUAUCUCCCAAAACACACGUGACCCGCCACCAGAUCUCUGACCGUGAGGUGACCCUGAGGUGCUGGGCCCUGGGCUUCUACCCUGCGGAGAUCACCCUGACCUGGCAGCGUGAUGGGCAGGACCACACCCAGGACGCAGAGCUUGUGGAGACCAGGCCUGCGGGAGAUGGGACCUUCCAGAAGUGGGCGGCUGUGGUGGUGUCUUCUGGAGAGGAGCAGAGAUACACGUGCCAUGUGCAGCACGAGCGACUGCCCGAGCCCAUCACCCUGAGAUGGGAGCCAUCCUCUCUGCCCUCCAUCACCAUUCUGGGCAUCAUUGCUGGUGUGGUUGUCCUUGUGGUCACUUUGGUGGUUGGAGCUGUGAUCUGGAGGAAGAAGUUUUCAGGAGGAAAAGGACCAAGCUAUUCUCAUGCUGCACGCGAUGACAGUACUCAGGGCUCUGAUUCGUCUCUAAUGGCUCCUAAAGUGUGAGACCUGCUGCCCCUCAGGGACUGAGCGAUACAGGAUCUGUUCACACUCCACUUGGUGCCAUCGAGAUCCCCUGACUUCCUGCAGAUGGUGUCAGAAUGUGUCUGCCUUCCUAUUAGCAUAUUGUGAGGACACAGGAGACUGGCCCCCCCUGCCCACCAUGACCCCUCCCCGUACUGAUUCCUGUUCACUUUCUGACCUGCUUUCCUGUUCCAGCAGAGUCAGUGCUGGACCGUCUCCGUCCCCGUCUUUUUUUCAUGUUGGGCCGAGUACUGACGCCUUACUUCCCCACUGAAAAUGAGAAUCCAGAUAUGAAUUUGUGUUUUGUAAUUCUUGGCAUGUGGGGAUGAUGAGGUAAUAAAAGAGAAGGUUUGUAAAAUUGCAAGAGAAAAUAAAUGAAAGCCCUGAGAACCUCCCAGAACCCGCUGUUUCCUGUGCCGUGUCUGUUGCAGGUGGGGACAGGAGAGGGCUGGAGGAGCCGAGCGUGGACGGGGCCUGGGUCCAGUCGGUGCUCAGUGCGUCCUUGGUGUGUCGUGCUCCCUCCUCAGCUGGGUCAUUGUCUCUGCUCAUUGUCCUUGUCCCUUCUGUGGAACCUUGUCUCACCAGGACCGUGACCACAGGGACGUGGACGUCACCUGUCACCAGGACCUUGUACAGCAAGAGCUUCCUGUGACUGGGUCAGCCCAGGCUCCAUCCUGGGUUGUGACCUCAGGCCCAUCUUUUGGGUGUUUUUUUUCCCCUUGUUUCUAUGGAGCAUCAGGCCUGUUCUUGCUCGUGUGUCCGAGUUCCUGUCUCCUUCUCUCCAGAUGACCCCGGUGGUUACAGCACCAGGAGUCCUUUGGGCUGUCGUUCUGCAGGCCUAGGUGGGCCCUGCACACAGGAGUCUCUGGGAUUUGGAGAGAUGAAUUUUCAGAUUCAUCCAUCUCCUCCCUCUAGAGUUGUUGUCUGGAAUAUUCUUUACAUCCUGAGGUAGACAGAGAGGAAUCUGGGAGUUUCUCAUCCUUGUUCAACUUCAGUUAGUUUCUACCUUCCCUGACUCUCUGCCCCCUCUUCCUGUCCUUAGUUCUAAUGAUACUGGUGCUGGUUCCCAUCCACGUUCAUGGGUUUAUAAAGCAGGGUCUAAUGUAGAUUUCUAUUUGGUUGGAGAAAGAGCCCCAUAGAACCUAAAUACAGUGAUUCUGAAGACAGGAAUGUAACUGUGUGCUGUGCUGUUUAGGGGAUACACUGUGGGAGGGGGGAGCUGAGCAGAGAGAGGGAGGGGCAGCCCUGGGGUAAGUAGAGGCAGCACUAAUGGUGAGGUGGGGGCACUUUGUGCGGGAGCUGCCACGGACGGGCUGUGCUGAGGCUCAUCCAGAAGACACAAGUCCUCUCCGCUGACCAAUCGUUCCACUGAUAAUGUCGUGUGCCACGUACAGGACCUGCUAUUUUUUUCAUCUAGAACACCUCAGUAAGUAAGCAAAGGCAAAUGUGCUGGUCUUGUGGAGACUAUGUCCUAGGGGUGAGGGACAGACUCCACUUGACCCUGGAACAAUGUGGGGACUGAGGGCAAUGACCCCACUGAGCAGUCAGAAAUCCAAGUAUAACUUUUGACUCCCCUGAAACUUAAAUAUUACCACUAAUAACGUAGUGUUGAUAAGAAGCCUUACUGAAAACAUGAACAGUCAUUUAACACAUAUAUUGUACAUUAUAUGUAUAUGUAACAUGUAUUCUUACAAUAAAUUAGGCUGGGGAAAAUAGUAAGAAAGCAUAAGAGAAAGUGCAUUGACAGCACUUGUUGUAAAAAGGUCCACAUAUCGGUGGAUGUGCACAGUUCGCACCAGUAUAAUUCAGAGUCAACUGUAUAUUGUAUAAAUGUGGUAAAUAAGGGAAUGUUUAAAUUGGAAAUUGGUAGGUGCUUUGAGGAAGGUGACCCAGAGAGUUACCUGUGCGGGGACAGGGAAGGUGGCUACUUUACUAUGGUAGUAAGUGUGAGCCUCACUGGGAAGCUGACCUCUGAGAGAUGGGUGAGACACAAGGAGUUGUUGAAGAGCAUGUCUCAAGGAAUUCUUUCCAGGCCGGGGAACCUCCAGGCACAUGCACUAGGGCAGGAGCAUGUCCUUGUUCAAGGAAGGGUGAGAGACCACUGGUUGGAGCUGAGAGCAUGGGAAAUGCACUCAGAUAUCUAGGUUUUAGGAUCAGAAGACUUUUAAAUUUUCUCUGAGUGACAUGUGUAGUCACCAGAUGAUUUAGAUCAGAUGGUCCACGUGGUAGUACUUCUCUCAGCAGCAUCUGUUUGCUGCUAUGCAGAAUCGACAGGUGAAGGGCAGGAGACCCGUAGGGAGACUGUAGGAAGCCAGUGCAGUUUCCAGGAGGGGGGAUGUUGGAUUUAUUUUGGGGUUUGAAGAGAGAAAUAACAGGAAGUUGCUGUACUCUGGUUAUUGUGUGUGUGUGCAUGUGUGUGUGUGUGUGUGUGUGUGGGUAUGUGUGUGUUCUGGAUACAUUUAAAGAUGAACUUAGCAGCAUGUCCUAAUGUAUUAUUUCUGUGUUGUGAGAAGGAGGAAUCAAGGACAGCAUCCAAUACUUCAGACUGCAAGAAGAAAGGGGGGUUUUCUUCCAAAGAGACAGGGAAGAUUUUGGAAGUAGGACAUUUGGGGAAGCUUCAUCACAGGCACUCAAUUUAGGAAUGUCGAAUCUGAGAUUAUUAGAAAUGCAAGCGAAGUUCCAGCUGGAGAUAGAGUGCAGGGUGGGAGAAAUAUCUAGGUUGAAGAAAUAGAUGUGGGAGAUGACACCAUAUAAAUGAUGUUUAGAGCCUUCAGCAUAGAUGAGGUCACCAAGGGGAUGAUGGCCAUAGAAGAGAGAGGAUCAGGACCAAACCCUGGAGUCGUCAGCACGAAGCAAGCUGAUCAGAGCACACCCAGAGCACACUGCACAGUUCUGGUUCUGCACCUAGAAGGCACACACUCCGGGGAGACCUAGCUUUCAGUGUGCACAGAAAUUUCCUGGUCUUAUGAAGAGCUAGGCAAUCUGGAGUAGAGUGUGAGAUUCUGGGUUUAUAGCAAGGUUGGUGCUCCUUCUGGUCUUCAGAUCACACACUGAGCAGCAAGCACAUAAUGAAGGAUUCCCACGUGGCUGUGCCUCAGCCUCUCCUGUGGGGCUUAUUAAGUAGUGAUUCCUGGGUCCACGCCCAACACUCUAACAGGGUAUGUGGAGAGAGGCCUGAGUGUUUUGUAACGAACCCAUGAGCAAUCCUGGGGUUCCACCAGAUAGAGUUGCAGUGAAGUCACUGAUGAGAGCCCUCAUUGUGGGAAGGGGUCUUACAUCCACAUUUACAUGUUGUUGUUUUUUCUAGGAAGAAAAAUGCAAGACCUGCUGGGAGAUACAUAUUUUCUCUCCCAGGGGGCAGAGCCAGGUGGCAGAUUGAGGAAGUGGUUAUCAGCUCAACAUAAAAUCUCUGAGAUAACAAGAGUGUAGAUCUUAAAUGCUUGCACCACACAAAAGGAAAUGGUAACUAUGUGACAAGGUGCAGGUCUAGGCUAAUGCUCUGGUUGUAAGCAUUUUGCAGCAUAGAAAUGUAUCAAAUCAAGAGACUGUACCCUUAAACUGACACAAUGGUGUAUGUCAGUUAUAUCUCUGUAAAACUGGAAAAAACGUCUGAAAUCAUGCUCUCUGAAGCUAUUUAUUGCCUGCAUCGACUUCUGCCUCUUUGUGAUACAUGUGCACAGUUACAGAGACUGGGAUGAGAGAAUGUGGGGCCUUGUUCUAUUUCAAGGAAAGUCACAAACCAGGCUUGAGGCUACACAGACGGGAACAGAAUCCACAA
Panthera uncia (snow leopard) is the source of this 4907-nucleotide RNA transcript. It is a transcript of the gene named DLA class I histocompatibility antigen, A9/A9 alpha chain-like, with no coding region annotated. The transcript has 9 exons. The record is from RefSeq and is a predicted model, not a curated record. Lineage: Eukaryota; Metazoa; Chordata; Mammalia; Carnivora; Felidae.